CUUAGCAGUCCUCUACUAGAAACAAGUAUUCUGUUUUCCUUAUUACGUGAGUGAAGUAAAAUUUUAGGUAGUCGUGUAAGGAAUAUACUAGAAAUCCUGUCCUAUAAUUGCACUGACAUGGAACCUCUCUCAGCAUUCUGUCAUUAGCACACUACAAUUGACCCCCGACUCUUCAUCCCAUAAACAAUGUAUAUGAGCAUUCAUAACCAUUUUACCUUGUUUUUCGUUAGAUUUUUCUAGUUACAUUACAUUGAGUAAAUAUAUAUUCAUGUUAACUUGUACAUAGAAUAGUUAGUGUACUGUUUGAUUAUGCAGCUAUUGAGCAGGAAUUUUCCCUCCAAAGCUGCAUGCAACAUCAUAAUGUGCUCUGUAAAUGACUUCCAUACUCUGAUUGUCUACCAUUGCCCUCAAUCUGUGUAGAUACUCAAGCUAUGGUUGCUCAAUGUGAUUAAGAGCCAACAAGUGGGACUAGAAGGACACCAAGCCUUGCAAUAUUUUCUUUAUUGUAGCCAUUUAUGGCCCUAUUUUUUGAAUUGGCUUUCGUUUUCAUAAGAUCAAUAGAAUUUGACUAGUUUCUUCAUUUUCUGAUUGUAGCUCUUUGUAAUAGUUCUUUUUUGGUAAUGAUUCUAGUGUGUAGUUCUAACACAUUACAUUUUCAUGUGGAGUUCAUGUGAAGAGUAAGAGGGGUGGGAAC
This 694-nucleotide long non-coding RNA is filed under the name Olea europaea subsp. europaea. The record is from RNAcentral. Lineage: Eukaryota; Viridiplantae; Streptophyta; Magnoliopsida; Lamiales; Oleaceae.